Molecule: small RNA, 600 nt
Filed under: Apiotrichum porosum
Lineage: Eukaryota; Fungi; Basidiomycota; Tremellomycetes; Trichosporonales; Trichosporonaceae
Description: eukaryotic LSU rRNA
Rfam family: Eukaryotic large subunit ribosomal RNA
Source: RNAcentral
GCAUAUCAAUAAGCGGAGGAAAAGAAACUAACAAGGAUUCCCCUAGUAACGGCGAGUGAACCGGGAAGAGCUCAAAUUUGAAAUCUGGCAGUCUUCGAUUGUCCGAGUUGUAAUCUAUAGAAGCGUUUUCCGUGCUGAACUGUGUAUAAGUCCCUUGGAACAGGGUAUCAAAGAGGGUGACAAUCCCGUACUUUACACAAUCAUCAGUGCUCUGUGAUACGUUCUCUACGAGUCGAGUUGUUUGGGAAUGCAGCUCAAAAUGGGUGGUAAAUUCCAUCUAAAGCUAAAUAUUGGCGAGAGACCGAUAGCGAACAAGUACCGUGAGGGAAAGAUGAAAAGCACUUUGGAAAGAGAGUUAAACAGUACGUGAAAUUGUUGAAAGGGAAACGAAAUUCAUGAAUCAUGUUUAUUGGACUCAGCCGUUCUUCGGUGUACUUCCUUUAAACGGGUCAACAUCAGUUUUGUCCGAUGGAUAAAGGUAGUAGGAAGGUGGCUCUCUCGGGAGUGUUAUAGCCUAUUGCUGCAUACAUUGGAUGAGACUGAGGACUGCAGCUUGCCUUUAUGGCCGGGGUUCGCCCACGUUCAAGCUUAGGAUGUUGA